Molecule: long non-coding RNA, 290 nt
Organism: Selaginella moellendorffii
Lineage: Eukaryota; Viridiplantae; Streptophyta; Lycopodiopsida; Selaginellales; Selaginellaceae
Exons: 3
Source: RefSeq, a predicted model, not a curated record
GCUGGACUAUUCCGCGAUUGCUCCUCUGGCAACGUAAGCGCAUUCUACGGUUCACUGGCUCGCAGUUUUGAUCGCUCCCUUUUCCUCCGUUUUGCGGAGCUCAGCAGCAGAAGCUCCCGCAAGCUGCAAGCUUGAUGGGGCCGUGUGGUCGGGUCGGGAUCAUCUUUUUCCCCACGAACAGCUUCAGAUUGCAGAGAGAUCGAUUACUCUCCCGGGAGGAAGACUGAAUGGCAACCGGAUUGUAAUUGUAGGAAUAAUGAUGAACAUGACAAGCAAGAUGAUUCAUAUCA